Molecule: ribosomal RNA, 620 nt
Filed under: Ideonella sp.
Lineage: Bacteria; Pseudomonadati; Pseudomonadota; Betaproteobacteria; Burkholderiales; Sphaerotilaceae
Description: bacterial SSU rRNA
Rfam family: Bacterial small subunit ribosomal RNA
Source: RNAcentral
GGGUGAGUAAUGCAUCGGAACGUGCCCAGUAGUGGGGGAUAGCCCGGCGAAAGCCGGAUUAAUACCGCAUACGACCUACGGGUGAAAGGGGGGGAUCGCAAGACCUCUCGCUAUUGGAGCGGCCGAUGUCAGAUUAGGUAGUUGGUGGGGUAAAGGCCUACCAAGCCGACGAUCUGUAGCUGGUCUGAGAGGACGACCAGCCACACUGGGACUGAGACACGGCCCAGACUCCUACGGGAGGCAGCAGUGGGGAAUUUUGGACAAUGGACGCAAGUCUGAUCCAGCCAUGCCGCGUGCGGGAAGAAGGCCUUCGGGUUGUAAACCGCUUUUGUCAGGGAAGAAAUCUUCUGGGUUAAUACCUCGGGAGGAUGACGGUACCUGAAGAAUAAGCACCGGCUAACUACGUGCCAGCAGCCGCGGUAAUACGUAGGGUGCAAGCGUUAAUCGGAAUUACUGGGCGUAAAGCGUGCGCAGGCGGUUUUGUAAGACAGAGGUGAAAUCCCCGGGCUCAACCUGGGAACUGCCUUUGUGACUGCAAGGCUUGAGUGCGGCAGAGGGGGAUGGAAUUCCGCGUGUAGCAGUGAAAUGCGUAGAUAUGCGGAGGAACACCGAUGGCGAAG